CCUUUGCCACAGUCAACCGAAAGUACGCAUUGACCGGACCUUCGAGAGCCGCCGGACCGACGUCGCCGGCACCACCACCCUUCAUCAUCACCGGCCAGGAAUCGGUCACUCGCGAAGCACGACAUGCACAGGGAAACGUUGAAACAAGAUCAUACAAAGCGAAGGGGUAACGGCGAGGGUCCAUCGAAACUCACUUAACAAGCAACGACGGCUGAAAACAAAGAGCAGCCGCGCGAGUCUCACUCGGGCAUUGA
Molecule: long non-coding RNA, 254 nt
Filed under: Eucalyptus grandis
Lineage: Eukaryota; Viridiplantae; Streptophyta; Magnoliopsida; Myrtales; Myrtaceae
Description: long non-coding RNA (EGRA_LNC007098)
Source: RNAcentral